RNAcentral lists this ribosomal RNA (1167 nucleotides) under Triticum aestivum (bread wheat). RNAcentral describes it as "partial small subunit ribosomal RNA". The record is from RNAcentral. Lineage: Eukaryota; Viridiplantae; Streptophyta; Magnoliopsida; Poales; Poaceae.
AUGGAGUCGUCGCGGUCGCGGAAGCGCACGCGUCAAGAGUUGGACAGCGCCGGCGACCCGCCGCCGGAGCGGGAGGUGGUAGCAAGGGGUGGCGCGUCGCCGCCUUGGCGGGAUGACGACCGCGACGGCCAUUACGUGUUUGAUCUCGGCGAGAACUUGACCCGUCGGUACAAAAUCUUGAGCAAAAUGGGUGAAGGUACUUUUGGCCGAGUUUUGGAAUGCUGGGACCGUGAAACACGUGAAUAUGUUGCAAUAAAAGUUGUCCGAAGCAUCCGGAAGUACCGGGAUGCUGCAAUGAUUGAGAUCGAUGUGCUCAAUCGCCUUGCAGAAAAUGAGAGAUACAGAUCCCUCUGUGUCCAAAUUCAAAGAUGGUUUGACUAUCGCAACCAUAUUUGCAUUGUAUUUGAGAAGCUUGGGCCAAGCUUGUAUGAUUUUCUAAAGAGAAAUAGAUACCAACCUUUCCCUGUGGAACUUGUGCGGGAGUUUGGACGACAACUGUUGGAAUCUGUAGCAUAUAUGCACGAAUUACGCCUUAUUCACACUGAUCUGAAGCCAGAAAACAUACUCCUCGUAUCUUCCGAAUAUAUAAAGGUUCCAAGUUCCAAGAAGAAUUCACAAGAUGAGAUACACUUCAAGUGCUUGCCAAAGUCCAGUGCCAUAAAGCUGAUAGAUUUUGGUAGUACUGCCUUUGAUAAUCAGGAACAUACCUCGAUUGUUUCUACGAGGCAUUACAGGGCACCUGAAAUAAUCUUAGGCUUAGGCUGGAGUUUGCCAUGUGAUAUUUGGAGUGUUGGUUGCAUCCUCGUUGAGCUAUGCUCGGGGGAGGCAUUGUUUCAGACACAUGAGAACCUGGAACACCUAGCAAUGAUGGAGAGGGUUUUGGGACCCGUACCAGAGCACAUGAUACGGAAGGCUAGUUCAUCAGCUCAGAAAUAUUUUAGGCGAGGGACACGUCUAAAUUGGCCUGAAGGUGCUGUUACAAGAGAAAGCAUCAGAGCAGUCAGAAAACUACACCGGCUAAAGGACUUGGUUGCGAGAAAUGCUGACCAUUCAAAGGCAUCACUGGCGGACUUGCUAUAUGGUCUUUUAAGGUUUGAGCCUUCAGAGCGCCUUACUGCCCAAGAGGCUCUAGACCAUCCAUUCUUCCGAAUUCCAGGUCCAACAUGA